RNAcentral lists this long non-coding RNA (1562 nucleotides) under Daphnia magna. RNAcentral describes it as "uncharacterized LOC116929130". Lineage: Eukaryota; Metazoa; Arthropoda; Branchiopoda; Diplostraca; Daphniidae. The record is from RNAcentral.
GAUUUUUCGAUUCAAGUCUAUUAGGGUGUCAGAACUGAUAUUGUACUUUUAGAACUUUGAAAACACCGCAUAACUUUUAUUAACAAUAGUUUACUUUUACAACUAUCAAAAUCAUGUUAACCAUUUGAAGGAGAAUAAAGCUAAUUUUUUAGAUUUCGGGAAUUUCGACUUCCGGUUUUACUUCCGGUUUAAAAAUGCCAAAUAAUUCCUUAUUUGUUUGUCUGCCAGAAAAAAAAACUCAUAUUUUCGUGUUCUUCGUCAAAUUUGGGGUUGAUUCCAUGUGUCAACUCAAAAUACCCCGAAAUCGUCAAAAAUCGCACCGACCGACUUUUGGCCUAAAACACGUCAUAACAACCCCAAAUUUGCUAAGGAUCACGAAAAUCCUACUCGUUUUGUUAUGGGCCAACUAUUUCCGGAGAUAUUGGCUACUUCUGGCUAACUCCGGAAAAUUUUCGUGACAAUUUGCAUAACAUAAAAAAUGAGCUGUAUUAUUCUAACAAUUUCAAAUAGUUUUAUUGCGUACGUUUUGGUGGUGCAGCUAUUAUUCCGUGGUUUUUCGCUAUCAAUAGUACAGGCUGACCCUACGAGCAACGACAGUUUAAGCUACAAAUGUUUUAGCGCCUCGUCUUGCAACUAGUACUUGAUAUGCUAGGUUUUUAUGUUUUGAAUUGGAUUCAACUAUUUGAGAUCAGAGGAAAAACUAGAUGGCGUUGAUGUGAGUCUAUGAUAAAUAUUACGGUUAUUUGCAUGAUACACUCGAUCUCGAUUGUUGUUUGAAGGUGUACUGUCACCAGACGUCCUAAUGGUACACCCACUAUCAGCAGCCUUACAGUGUGCUUCAUAAAUAAAUCAACCCCUGAGAUAACAUUAUCGUUGGAAAUUGUGUUUUUGUUGUGGUUUUGUUCUCCACUCUUAUUAUCCAUAUGCAAUUUUCACACUACUUCAUUACCUUCAUGGAGUGAUAUUUUAUCAUCCUGGAAAAAGGAUUCUGGAAAUUGAUGACUUCUAAUAUACAGCUGGCAGAUUACGAGAUUUCAUAUAUUUACAUUUAAGAAUAAGCUUCCAAUUUGAAAUUGGGAUUGUGGGAAAGUAUUGGACUCAUGCUCCGAUGGUCAAGGGUUCGAUCCUAAGUUCCUACAUAUGUUCACGGAAAUAAAUUCAAAAUUGAAAUAUAUGUAAAAAUUUUAUUGUCCCUCCAUCCACCCACAAAUCCACGACAAGUUGUUCUAUUUUGCAAUACAAUACAAUACAACACAAUACAAAUCAUACAUAAAUAAAACUAACCCGUUGGCUGCCACGCCACUAAAUCUACGCUAGCUACAUCGCUAUCUAAUGGAUAGCGUCCAAGGGGGACUUGUCCUGCGACAAAUCCGGGCUGACACGAUGACAGAAGCCUUUGUGAGAAUGUACACUCCAGACAACCAUCAAAGCAUCGAAAAAGGGAAAGUCCCUACUGGUACAUUGCCUCGACGAUCGACUUUGAGCCACACGGCUUGUGCAACUGUCCCACCCAUGGCAUAUAGACCAUUGGGCAGAACAGCGCUGCCGGACCCUAACAAGCU